GGCGUAUUUAGUGAUGCUUGCGGUUAUGUCGUUCAAUGUUGGAGUGUUUUUGGUAGCAAUCGGUGGUCAUUGCCUCGGAUUCUUCUUCUUUGGGAGUAGAUUUUUCAAGAAUUCAGGCGCGGCUUCUGCUUAUGUGAAGUUAUAACAGAAGGGAAAUUGAUAAUUUGGAAUGCUUGGAUUCAGAUUCCGGGAUAAUUCGUUAGUAAUUUUCUUCUUCUUCACAGUAAUAUUUCAUCGUUCUUCAUUUGGAUUC
Cucurbita pepo subsp. pepo (vegetable marrow) is the source of this 253-nucleotide non-coding RNA. The record is from RefSeq and is a predicted model, not a curated record. NCBI's taxonomy places the organism in Eukaryota, Viridiplantae, Streptophyta, Magnoliopsida, Cucurbitales, Cucurbitaceae.